This is a long non-coding RNA of Xenia sp. Carnegie-2017, 99 nucleotides long. RefSeq lists it as uncharacterized. NCBI's taxonomy places the organism in Eukaryota, Metazoa, Cnidaria, Anthozoa, Malacalcyonacea, Xeniidae. The transcript is spliced from 3 exons. The record is from RefSeq and is a predicted model, not a curated record.
GUUUGUAAGUCUUGCGUUUGAUGAAGUCUGAGUUAUAGUUGUUUUUGUCAAAAACACGUUUGAGAUAGUUGUUUUCGUUGUGUAGAGCCCCCUGAAUAG